AAUAUUGCACAAUGGGCGCAAGCCUGAUGCAGCCAUGCCGCGUGUAUGAAGAAGGCCUUCGGGUUGUAAAGUACUUUCAGCAGUGAGGAAGGUGGGUAUGUUAAUAGCAUACUCAUUUGACGUUAGCUGCAGAAGAAGCACCGGCUAACUCCGUGCCAGCAGCCGCGGUAAUACGGAGGGUGCGAGCGUUAAUCGGAAUUACUGGGCGUAAAGCGCAUGCAGGUGGUUUGUUAAGUCAGAUGUGAAAGCCCGGGGCGUCAACCUCGGAAUUGCAUUUGAAACUGGCAAACUAGAGUACUGUAGAGGGGGGUAGGAAUUUCAGGUGUAGCGGUGAAAUGCGUAGAGAUCUGAAGGAAUACCGGUGGCGAAGGCGGCCCCCUGGACAGAUACUGACACUCAGAUGCGAAAGCGUGGGGAGCAAACAGGAUUAGAUACCCUGGUAG
This 443-nucleotide ribosomal RNA is filed under the name uncultured bacterium. Its description in RNAcentral is "bacterial SSU rRNA". It matches the Rfam family "Bacterial small subunit ribosomal RNA", at positions 360 to 793 of the family's 1533-position model. The record is from RNAcentral.